Molecule: ribosomal RNA, 254 nt
Filed under: uncultured bacterium
Lineage: Bacteria
Description: partial 16S ribosomal RNA
Rfam family: Bacterial small subunit ribosomal RNA
Source: RNAcentral
UACGGGGGGGGGCAAGCGUUGUUCGGAAUUACUGGGCGUAAAGCGCACGUAGGCGGAUAUUUAAGUCAGGGGUGAAAUCCCAGAGCUCAACUCUGGAACUGCCUUUGAUACUGGGUAUCUGGAGUAUGGAAGAGGUGAGUGGAAUUCCGAGUGUAGAGGUGAAAUUCGUAGAUAUUCGGAGGAACACCAGUGGCGAAGGCGGCUCACUGGUCCAUUACUGACGCUGAGGUGCGAAAGCGUGGGGAGCAAGCAGG